Molecule: ribosomal RNA, 402 nt
Filed under: uncultured prokaryote
Description: bacterial SSU rRNA
Rfam family: Bacterial small subunit ribosomal RNA
Source: RNAcentral
UGGGGAAUAUUGCGCAAUGGGCGAAAGCCUGACGCAGCGACGCCGCGUGAGGGAAGAAGGUUUUCGGAUCAUAAACUUCUAUCCUUGGUGAAGAUAAUGACGGUAGCCAAGAAGGAGGCCCCGGCUAACUACGUGCCAGCAGCCGCGGUAAUACGUAGGGGGCAAGCGUUGUCCGGAAUGAUUGGGCGUAAAGGGCGCGUAGGCGGCCUGGUAAGUCUGGAGUGAAAGUCCUGCUUUUAAGGUGGGAAUUGCUUUGGAUACUGUCGGGCUUGAGUGCAGGAGAGGUAAGUGGAAUUCCCGGUGUAGCGGUGAAAUGCGUAGAGAUCGGGAGGAACACCAGUGGCGAAGGCGACUUACUGGACUGUAACUGACACUGAGACGCGAAAGCCAGGGUAGCAAACG